Helianthus annuus (common sunflower) is the source of this 384-nucleotide long non-coding RNA. RefSeq lists it as uncharacterized. The transcript is spliced from 3 exons. NCBI's taxonomy places the organism in Eukaryota, Viridiplantae, Streptophyta, Magnoliopsida, Asterales, Asteraceae. The record is from RefSeq and is a predicted model, not a curated record.
GGAAAAUGUGAAAACUAGAAAAAAAGAUGUUUUGUCUACGCAUGAGACUUCACUUCUUGGGACAUCAUCGCAGUUGGAAUCACAAGAAAAUAUACAUAAUACACAUUCAACAAAUGUCCUAGAGAUCAAGUGUACUCUAUAUACUAUAAAUAUGAACAACUGUGUGGCUUAUGGUACAAUUCAUUUGUCAACGGGAAAACAAAGCAUUCAUGGAGUUCCACUACAAGAUAAUUGCUAUAGAUUUCUAUUGAUAAAGUUGUAAAAGAAGCAGCAUUUUUACCGGUAGAAUCAUGUGAGGUCAAAACAGUUGUGGAUGCACAAAAUACUUUUGUUGCUUGGCCAAAAUACCUUGUCAAAACUAGCCAAAAGAUACCAAAUCUAUCA